Molecule: long non-coding RNA, 6953 nt
Filed under: Pan troglodytes (chimpanzee)
Lineage: Eukaryota; Metazoa; Chordata; Mammalia; Primates; Hominidae
Description: long non-coding RNA NONPTRT007638
Source: RNAcentral
CGGCGGAUGAGGCUUCUUUCAGCAAGCUGCUGCCCUGGGCGCACUGCCUUGCGGGUCACUGUGGUUGCUCCUGUGCUUCAGCGGGACUAGAAGCUGCCGCCCACGGGCAGCGGGGAAGAAAUCUGGGCAAAGCCAUGAGCCCUCCGAGGCUGAGCUCCAGUUGAGGGGCUCACCUGCCUUGCAUCGUUCCGAGUCCUGUACUGGACUGCAUCAGGCUGCGUCUCCUCAGGAAAUGGGAUCUUGGUUCCUGGCCAGCAUCCGGCCUCUCUGCACCUCACAGACGCUGCAAAUCCUUACUCAGUGACUUCAGGGAUACAGGUGGUACCUCUAAAUCCAAAAACUCCAAAUGUCCACCAGCUCCAGUCACAUUGGAGAUACAGGUGUGGUUUGCUCCUAAGACCCACCCAGCACACGUGAGAUGGGGAGACCUGGAUUGCAUCCCCAUGUCUGUCCCAGUGGAGAUAUCAUUGGAAAAGCUGCAGUGAUCUCUAUAAAAAUCUCAACCACCCGCUCCCGGUAGGUUCAGCGCUGCACUCUAAGAGGAGAAUGGGUCUGACUCCUCAAGGAGAUGCCUCUGGUCCAGGCUUUGUAAACUUGGGCCUUCCAGCCAGAUUCCUCCAAGCUCAGUGUCCGCUGCUGCUGGGCUGAGGGGAACCCCACUCCUUCACCACCGACUCCUGCUCCUGGCUGCACCUGCCCUUCCAACAGUGUCUCCUCUCAAGAAAGGGAGAAUCCUCCAGCCUUCUGUGCCUGCAUGCUGAGAACCCAUAGAGAGGAGCAUCCCUGGAGAAUCCCAGCUUGCAGCCAUCUUCCCUCAAGCGCAUUUCCAGUGUCCAGCCUGGCUUUCUGAUCAUUUUUGCUUUAGGAAGGCCUCCGACCAUGGCACUCUGGUAAAACCAUGUCCCAGCCCCCGGUCUCCCUAGCAACGCCGACUCUCACCCCAGAUGGUUCCUGCCAGGAUGGGAGGGUGGAGCUCACAGAGUUUGAAGGAGUGCCACCUUCACAUGGCACAAGUGUCUUUACAGAACACAUGAGGCAGAAAACAGAUGUCCACAAAUCUGGGCAGAUGGACACAUGCCGACAGCAUGGCAAGGUCCCCUCCUUUGCCCCGGCCCAUCACUUCCUCCCAUGUGUAGGAGCAGGUCCACCCAAAACAGCGUGAAGGUGUCAAGCCAGUGGCUCCUCUUCUGGGGAGGGAGUGAGGAAGGAAGAGCAGGAGACAGGCAGAAGAACUCACUGGGCGGUUGGCGACCUGCAGGGAGACAGAGAAGGACACGCCAGAGCCCAGGGAGAGCACUAACCACCACUGACAGUUUCCCAUUUCAUAUAUUUUUUCCGAGGCCACGAAGAGGAGGAGCCUGUCACAAAGCACCAGUGGGAACUCACUGCCCCCGACACCUCCUGACGCAUCAGCUGGUGAGCACCAGAAGCCGGCCCAGUGCCCACAGCCAAGCCCACGUGGUGUGGCCCACAGCACCUUCACAGGAAGGGCCUGAGGGUUGGCUGCAGUCAUUUUUUUUUUUUUUCAAACUGGAGGGGAACGUUUUUCCUUGGUAAACCCCCAGCGCUGAAGUCACUCAGGUGAGCCUCGGUGAAGAAGCCUCAGACGCUCAGCAAGGCCCAGGGAGGAUGAGCUCAUCUCUGGAGGCCAAGCUCACAUGCCCCAGACUGCAGCAACAUGCCCUCCCGCCCACGCCUGCUCCCUUGCCAGGGUGUGUCCUGCCCUCAGCGGGCCACUGGCCCCCAAAUCCACCACAGAAGGCCAACAGGACAGGGGAGUCCCAGUGACAUGCCACUGCCUCCCCCUACCCAGGAGGCUUGCUUUAGGUUCCCCUGCUGCCCUGGGCCCACGUUAAAUCAGCUGUUCCAUGCAAAGACUUGCAGAGCCAAGAGGAGAGGUGCAGGCGAGUUGUUAGGAGCAUGGGUUUCACAACGGUGUGGUCUCACUGCUGCCCCUGGCCACUGCCUGUGCCUUCCGGGCAGCGACUGCACCUCCUCCUCAGUUAACAAGCACAGUGGCGGAUGCCCAUGCCAUGGGUUCCGUGCAUGGCGGUCACCAUCACCACACGGAGUCCAAGAGCAAGAACUCUGCCAAGACACUGUUAUUAUCAAAAGCAAAUGGUUUGGGUAAUGCAAAAUCCAAAACGAUCCUGAAGUUUAUAUUUUGGUUAGGAAUGCAAUGGCCAGAGAAUUGAAGCCACAUGAAGGUGCCAUGAGCGUGCUGCCUGGCCCAUCUCAGGGGGCACCCAGCUGCCAAGAGCUGUGCCGCAGCUGGUCUCGCCUCUGUCUAGGGGGGCAGAGCCUGACGGGAACGCCCCAUUGUGCCUCAGAAUGAAAGUUCAGUGGUCUGCAGAGAGGAGAGGAAAGGGGAAGCUGAAUGUCCCGUGGAAAAGUGGCACAGAGGCCUGGCUGGGUGAACCAGGGCCCGGGACGGGAAUGGCCAUUGGUGUGUCAGCUGCUCACCUGGGCUUGGGUGUCCAGGUCCUGAGCUCACUCCUGGUGAUACACCCUCUGCAGCCCAGGUGGCAGAGGGGACAAGGAGCGCCUGCUACCUGAGGCCUCUGCUUGGGAAGUUCCUGUCAGGAGAGGCAGGCAGGGCGUGGGCAGCGACAGCUGGGGCCGGCAGGUGAGGACACGUAGUUGGGAGGGGUGCAGCCGGCAGCACCUGGGAAUGCAGCACUGUGCUCUUCCUGGGGGCUGUGGCCUCACAGAGGCUCCCAGGCUACACUGGAGGAGGCUCUGCUCCAUGGUGUACACACCCCAGGUAUCACGGGGGCCCUCCCAGGACCAACCCAGCCGGUGGUCAGGGGUCCUUGCUCUCUGCCGGGCACACUGCGGCCUCUGGGUGUUUUCAGAACGGCAAUCACAUUCUCAAGCUUAACUGUCUCUAUGGCACCGCAAAUGGCAGGGCUGCUCCCCACUCCCUGGAGGAAGUGAGCCUGACCCCCAGUUCUCGCCAGUGAGCUUGGCAGAGGCACCACAGGCUCUUGGGUCCCCUCAUACAAGCUUUGUCAGGGGGCCGGACGUCCACCUGCAGGCCCAGCCCUUCCUCAUCACAACAGAGAGCCCACCACAGGGGACAGCCACAACUUAGCCCCGUGGUUCUGCCCCCAGCAGACAUGUGGUGAUGUCUGGAGACAUUCUAGUUGGCACAAGUUGGGGGGAAGCUCCUGGUAUCUAGACAGCAGAGGCCGGGGCACCGAUAGCUCUCCACAUGCAGACGCCCCACAGCAAAGAAAUGUCCAGCGCAGAACGUCAGCAGUGCUGAGGGUAAGAACCCGGCCUCACACGCACGUUUCCAGUGGGCUGGAAGGUGGCUCCUACAGUCAGGCUGUUCAAAGGUCUGAACCUCACGCGCGAUCUCGACAUUAGAACAUGGGCUGUGACCGGAGAAGCAGCCUGCGGGGGUGGGCCAGGAAGGGGCGCCACCCUGAAGGCUCAGUCUGUGUGGCAACGACACUCACAGACAAGCCCUGCGUACCCUGACCGUAGACUGGUGUGUGCACCAAGCAUGCCAGGGACCCCAGGUCACACGCCCCUGGGGGAUAGGAGAGGUGGUGUCUGUCCCCUGGUCCCUCAGCCAAGUCAGCCGAUGUCCCCAGCUGGGAUGUCUGCGGAAGCUGUGGUCCCGAUGCCACACACGCCAAGGCAGGCAUCACGCUCUGGGCGCCGGGGGACCCUGCGUGCUUGGGUGCAUUGCACACCCAGGUCACCAGGGACACGGUGACAUGCCGCUGUGAGCCCUCAAGAAGGCCUCAUCUCCAUACAGCGCUGCGGCCAGCUGGUGACAGGUCUCAAAGGGAGGGAGCAACCCUACAUCUCUGCUUCCAAAGUCCGAGCAUGUGUGGGGACAGGCAGCUGGAUGAAGCACCUCAGAGAUCCACUGCCCAAGGCUGCCCGGUAGACCUGUCCCUGGGAGGGAAGCAGCCCAGCCCCGCUGAUAGAACCUGCAUUUCAAACAGACCCAGGGCUGCAGCACACAACACGUUUCCAGUGGAGAAGCCCUUUGCAGAGUUCAGAGCUCUCGCAGGCCUCGUGUUCAACUCCUCGUCUUGCCACCUGCUUUUGUUAUGCAAGAAACUGAGGCAGAAAGCAGGGAAGCAACACAGCUGGGUAGGGCCCAGCAGAGUCUCACCCCAAGCUCCCCAGCUGCUCACCCACAGUGCUCUGGGCCCCUCCCACUUCCACAACUGCGACCUUGUCUUUGACCUUGAACUUCUGUCUCCUCCUCCCAAAAUGCCUGUGACCAACUGGGCUGCCUUUGAUGAGCUGCUCCGAGGAACAGCAGCCACUUGCCCACUGGCCCCCAGCCCUCCCUGAAGGGUGGCAGCUGAUGCCUGUGUGCCUGAAGGCAGCUCCUGCCCCCAGUAUCCACAAGGAGGGACAAACUCUCACAUGGACAGUGAGGGUGUGACAGGCCCUGAAGAACAGGUUCUGUGUCCACUUUAGAUGCUGGAACUACACUUAAAGAGCGACCAGCUUUUACAGAUACAAAAAUAAACAUGUUUGCCUUUGCUUGUUAUUGCCAAGGAAGCCAUCUUCCCCUGCUUUGACACCUCAACUGUGAAUGCAUUUCCCAUAACAUCUGAAAAUGUACACUAAAAAUCAAGUCACACUUUAAGGUAGUGUUUUUGGCCAAUUUGUUCUGAGAACAAAUACAAAACUGCAUAAAAAUAGCUUCCACAGGGAAAAAAGGUGCAAGUCCAACAGACACCCUUUCCAGUCACCUAGACAUCACCUGGGUGUUGAAAACCACCUUGAGCCCAAAUCCACCUGCACCAUUGAUUCUCUCGUGUCAGGUGCAUCCACGGGGCUUAUCAAAGCUCUGUUUUAUUCUUUUAAAAAUGACAACUUACUAUUUUGGGCAGGACAAAUGUUCCCAGAGAACUUUUAAAUCUGAUGUUAUAGUUUUAUUUCUUAGUUCUAGGUACAGGGCUAGAUGUUUGGCUGAAGCUGCGUGUGCCACAACACUGCAGGCCCCACACCACGCAGCCAGACGCCCCUCCCAGUCCUCCUUCCUCCUGACGUGGCUCCCAGUGGAAUGAGAUGGCUGGGGUCUCAUGAGGGGCCAGCUGCGUGGGCCGUCCAUUCUCUACCAUGGCAUGCCGACAACAGGGUCACAGAGAAGUCCCCCUUUCAAACCAAGAUUUGAGCUGAAGAGUCAGGUUCCUGGUCGCAGGGCUCCGUCAUCUGCAGGAAAAUUAGUGAAGAAGUGGAGGGCCUUGCAAUGUGAAAGGGUGGGAGAGAGAAAGCCAGAGAGACUUCUGCAAAACAAGCUGCAGAUGGGCAUGGAGAAGAGCAAAGCCGCAUACAGGCAUAGUGGAAAAGUACGCUGACCUUCUCAGUGGCUCUAAAACAACAAGCGAAAGACAACCACCAGCAUCCGUCUUCUUCCUUUCCAGCCAGACAACUCUCCCUGGCCCUAAUGGGUUUCAGGCAGAGAUGGUUUCCUGAGGGCAGCACCAGUCAGAAUGGGUGGAGCAGGCCCCAGAGCUUCUAAUGGUCCCAGCUGAGUCCCCCAAGGCUCAGCACGUGAUCCUGCCGGUCAUACACACAGCCCCAGCUCGAGCACUGUGCGGCCACUCUCUCUCCAAGUACUCUCUGCCCGGGAGCCCACUUCAUCCUGCUUCAUCAGUCUCUGAAGCUGAGAGAACACCCUUGUUUGUUUCUGCAGACAUUCCUUUGCUUCAGCACUCACCGCUCCCCAGACCACAAAGGUGUAUGGACUUAGCAAAACCAGUCAUAAUGAUUUUUCUAUAUCAAAACCAGCCCUAACAAUUUUUAUACAACUUUUAAAUAAAAACAGUGGAAAAUACAAUAAAUAAGUCCUCUAAAUAAAGCUGUGGUAUGAAGUUUAAAUGCCCCAAGUCAGAAGUCAAUUGGAUGUCUCUGUCUGAGCUGAGAGCACAUGACAUACAACGAAACCACAUGGACAGACACAACCCCGAAUGCCAAUUCCAGUGUCCUGUGCAGUGAUGACCACACUGUUAGAAGCAUUUUAACUCUUGUUUUUACAAACUUUCUUUUUACAUAUAUGUUAGCGGUCAAAGAACUCUGUUUUUCUUGGUCCAAACCAGAGGAAAUUUAUUGUCCAAACCAGACCCACCCCAAUGCAUUUGCCUCUGAUGUGAGAAAGAAACACUAGGGCUUCAACCAGAUGAGGGGCAUUUAGGAAAACCCACAGCUAAAGUCACAUUCAAUGCGGAACACUGGGCACCUCCCCCUAAGGUCAGGAACAAGACGAGGGUGUCCGCUCUUAUUCCUUUCAGCCUCGGCACUGAUGGUCCUAGGGCAACUCUAUGUUGACGCCUCUGAGGAACUGCCGGGCUGCAGUGAAUCCAGGUGACCUCACAGAAACUUGUAUGUGAGCAUUCGCAGCGGCAUCAUUCACAGUGGCCAGGAGGUGGAAACAACCCCGAUGUCCAUCAACUGAUGAACCAACCGAUGAACACAGGGUGACCUGUCCAUACAGUGGGGUCUCAGCCACAGAGGGAGCAAGGCCGUGAAACCCCCAGCGAGAGCGAGGCGCGGAAACCCGCAGCGGGAGCGAGGCGCGGAAACAGGCCAUGACACGGAUGAGCCACACCAUGGAUGACCCCACGGACACGCCACCAAAGCACCAUCAUGCUGAGUGACAGAAGCCAGGCACCCAGACCAUGCACUGUAUGAUUCCUUUCACGUGAAAUUUCCAGAACAGGGAAAUCCAGAGCGACAGAAAGCAGGUUAGAGGUUCCAGGGGCUGGGGGUUGGGGGAAUGGGGAGAGACUACUUAACAGGCAGAGACUUGUUUUUGGGGUGGUGAAAAUGUUCUAAACGGACUAUGGCUGCACAGCUCUGUGAACACACUAAAAACAUUGGCUUGGACAACUUAAAUGGUCGGAUGCUGACUUAGGUCUCAAUAAAGCUAAAAAAUAAGGUGGCUCCUUCCAGCUUUGCGGGAACCUAACCGCUAG